RNAcentral lists this ribosomal RNA (468 nucleotides) under uncultured bacterium. RNAcentral describes it as "partial 16S ribosomal RNA". It matches the Rfam family "Bacterial small subunit ribosomal RNA", at positions 28 to 507 of the family's 1533-position model. The record is from RNAcentral.
GACGAACGCUGGCGGCGUGCUUAACACAUGCAAGUCGAACGGAAAGGCCCUGCUUUUGUGGGGUGCUCGAGUGGCGAACGAGUGAGUAACACGUGAGUAACCUGCCCUUGACUUUGGGAUAACUUCAGGAAACUGUGGCUAAUACCGGAUAGGAGCUCCUGCUGCAUGGUGGGGGUUGGAAAGUUUCGGCGGGUGGGGAUGGACUCGCGGCUUAUCAGCUUGUUGGGGGGGUAGUGGCUUACCAAGGCUUUGACGGGUAGCCGGCCUGGGCGGGUGACCGGCCACAUUGGGACUGGGAUCCGGCCAAGACCCCUACGGGAGGAAGCAGUGGGGAAUAUUGACCAAUGGGCGGAACCCUAAUGAAGCACCGCCGCGUGCGGGAUGACGGCCUUCGGGUUGUAAACCGCUUUCGCCUGUGACGAAGCGUGAGUGACGGUAAUGGGUAAAGAAGCACCGGCUAACUACGUG